AAAUUUAACCAGGUGCAAGACCGUCUUGCAAAAUCCUCUUUCAAAACACAGAACUUCGAAGCUCCAUAGUCCUGAUAAUCUCUUAGCACUUGGAGAAAUGUGGUAAAGCCGAAACAGUGGGGAGAGAAGUAGUCCAGAUGGCCACUGUGUACUUGCCUCCCGAAAAACAGAGCCCCUUUUGAAGCAAAGGACCCUAGUAGGUAAGAGGGAGGCUCAUCUGCAGUUCUAUC
This is a non-coding RNA of Pelobates cultripes (western spadefoot toad), 230 nucleotides long. The record is from the annotation of a GenBank genome assembly. Lineage: Eukaryota; Metazoa; Chordata; Amphibia; Anura; Pelobatidae.